Pygocentrus nattereri (red-bellied piranha) is the source of this 1324-nucleotide long non-coding RNA. RefSeq lists it as uncharacterized. The transcript is spliced from 5 exons. Lineage: Eukaryota; Metazoa; Chordata; Actinopteri; Characiformes; Serrasalmidae. The record is from RefSeq and is a predicted model, not a curated record.
CAGUCAUUGGGUGGAUGGCAGGAAACAUCACAAGGCUGUAGAAGAACAAAAAAGAUAAAAGUUCUUCUAAGAAAGUUCCCAAAAAUAUGUUGGGGAAAUUCAUUUCCUCCAAGUUAAUAUAUAAAAAGGGCUGGUCCUCCAGGUGCUGUACACAGGUUCAGCGUACUAUAAAAACAGCCUGUUGCUUCACACAGACGCAGACAGUCUAUUGACAGAGCAGCAUCUACAUCUGUCUUGAAAACCAGCUUUCCUUUGUAGAAAGGACAGAGCGACUGUAAUACAGACCCACCUUAUUCAUUGAACAUAAUCUAACAGUAUGAAUCAGUUCCUCAGAGUCAUUCUGCCUGUGCUUUUGAUCUCCUUCGGGUUGUGCAUUACAGGGCAGUCAGAAAGAGAUAAUGCCAACCAGACUCGAAUUGCUGUCAGGGCUACUAUUGGAAAGAUCUAUGUGACAAAUGGGCAGGUCUGGGGCUCAUGGGGCAAUCAACAGAUGUGUCCCACUGAUACCUACGCAUCUGGUUUUAGCCUUUUGGUAUAUGCAGAGCAGGGUUUUUUUUACGAUGAUUCUGCCCUAAAUGGAAUCGCUCUUCAAUGCACUCCACUUCGCACAGCUACUAGCCCAAUUAACGACUAUACAACAGUGACUUCUGCCACAGGAAGCUUUGGAUCAUGGAUGCCAGAUAGGUGGUGCCCAAGUGGACAACUGGUGGCCUUUCAGCUGAGGGUGCAAGCUAAUCAAGGAAUAUUUUGUGAUGAUCCUGCUGCCAAUAACAUUAGUUGAGUACAUUAAUGUUUUAUAAUAAUUCAAAGAUUCAGUAUUUGCUAACAUACCUUUUUCAGUUGUUCAGUAGUUUGUAAGGACAAUUAACCUGGUGCUUUAGGGUUAGAAACUCUUCUCCCUCAAAUGUUUCCAGGUUCAAAUGUACGGAUGGUUCAGUGGUGGAGGGUGAUGGUAUGAAGUGGGGAGAAUGGGGUUCUUGGAGUGAAACCUGCAUGGGAAAAGGUAUCUGUGGUAUUCAAACAAGGGUGGAACCAUCUGGAUGGUCUUGGGACUACACUGGUCUUAAUGACGUUCAGUUCCGUUGCUGCAGUUAGGGAUGACAGAUGAAGUGAACAGCAACUCUCUCCAUCUCCCUGUAUUAUGCAGAUCUUCCAUAAUCUUUUCAUGAAAUCAUUAUCCUAAAUAGAGUGCAAUUACAAUACUGCAUUAUCCAUGAAGUUUUAUACCUAAAAAACUUCUAGUGUGUUUACUGAUGUCUUCAUUUUCCUCUGUCAAAAACAACCUAAUAUCAAAAUAAAUUCAGCUUAUUUGCCUUUAUCUUGA